AUACUUACCUGGCAAGGGAGACACCGUGAUCACCAAGGCGGUUCACCCAGGGCGAGGCUCGGCCAUUGCACUCCGGCUGUGCUGACCCCUGCGAAUUUCCCAAAUGUGGAAAUCUCGAUUGCAUAAUUCUGGUAGUGGGGGACUGCGUUCGCGCUCUCCCCUG
Molecule: small nuclear RNA, 163 nt
Filed under: Esox lucius (northern pike)
Lineage: Eukaryota; Metazoa; Chordata; Actinopteri; Esociformes; Esocidae
Description: U1 spliceosomal RNA
Rfam family: U1 spliceosomal RNA
About the family: U1 is a small nuclear RNA (snRNA) component of the spliceosome (involved in pre-mRNA splicing). Its 5' end forms complementary base pairs with the 5' splice junction, thus defining the 5' donor site of an intron. There are significant differences in sequence and secondary structure between metazoan and yeast U1 snRNAs, the latter being much longer (568 nucleotides as compared to 164 nucleotides in human).
Source: Rfam by way of RNAcentral